UUAACAACAUAAGCAAACUCUAUGUUACAAUGAUUGCACAGCCAUUAAGGAUCAAAUCAGUUUCUGAAAUAUGUUCUGUUUUUUCUCCCUCUGCUUGCUUCUUACUGUCUUUGAGGCUCGGGACCAGCACUCCUGUUGUUGGACAGAAAGACAUCAACUCAGUGACUUGAGAUAUGACUGCACUAUGCUGUUGCUGUGACUCCAGUUAAUUCUACAAGACAUGCUGUGACAACAGGAGAGAUGAGUCCUCCGUCACAGAUGGUGUGGUCAGUGAAGAUGGUCGCCUGCAGGUUCAAGCUCAUUGCAUCUCCAACCCACAUCCACUGCCACUGUACUUAAGGGAAGUUAAAGACUUUCUUCUGCACCUACAUUUGAAUCACCUCGAUCCAUGAUAGUCAUUCAGGCAGUAAUGCCUGGACUGGAAACAAGCCAUCCUUAAAAUAUUACAACAUUCCAGCUCAUGUGUUGGAAUUGAAAACAAAUGUGUUGUUUAAAUUAGAGACUGCACUUGUGACAGAACAACAAAUAUUUUAUUUUGAUUAUAUAAGUAAUGUAAGUACAAAACAAACUUGUGGUAGGCCUAAACUUAUUUUCAGAAUAAUUACAUCUGAGACUUUGUUUCAUUGUAAGAUUAUAACAGUGAUGGCAAUAUAAUUGUUUGUUGUUCAGCAGAACAGUGUCCAGUAUGUUGGCUGUUAUACUUUGUUGUGUUUGAAAAUAAAAGUUGGGCUCAUUUUAACAUCAUUACAAAAAUUGUUGUUAAUUAUUUUUAAUCAUAUUCAGGUUACCACAAAUUGUUUUUUCAUUUAGUUGAACUUGAAAUGUUUGUCAGUAGGUAAACAAUUAGUAUUGUCAGAAAGUCAGAAAUAUCAAGUUAUUCUUAAUACUGCAGACUUGCAAUGUAUAAGUUGUCCUAACAGUCAUCUUAAGUAAGCUUUACUUAGUUUUUUUGAGGCAACGAGUUUCCAUAAUUUUUUUGAGUUCUGGGAACUAACAAGGCUGUACAGUGUACUCAAAAUGAGUAAGUUGUCCUAACUUGGUCAUCUUACGUAAA
This is a long non-coding RNA of Pelmatolapia mariae (spotted tilapia), 1054 nucleotides long. RefSeq lists it as uncharacterized. The transcript has 3 exons. NCBI's taxonomy places the organism in Eukaryota, Metazoa, Chordata, Actinopteri, Cichliformes, Cichlidae. The record is from RefSeq and is a predicted model, not a curated record.